UUUAUAUAGACAUAUUUAUACUAUAUAUAUGGUAUAUAAAAAAUAUAUAUUUACAUAUGCAUAAUAUUUAAAUUAUUUAUUUUUGUAGAUUUUCACUCUUAAGCUUUUCUGUUACAGUCGCUCUUUUUAUCAAAGAAAAAGUUCUAAGAGACAAAAGCAAAAAUAAAAAUGUUAAUGUCAGUGGCCACCUGUAGGGGGCUCGCUGAUAUUGGAACGUUUGUAUAACGGAAGUAUGAAUACGUUGUACGGUCCUUAUUUCCGGUUGCAAUCCACCAGUCUCUCAGCGGACGUUGACGUCACAAACCCGGGCUCGGCUUCAGUCUGACUCAUUAAAAUGACUGCCGUCCAAUAAAGUGACCCGACUGUUAACGGUUCUACGUCAGAGGGUGGAGUAAAAGCCACUGUUGACGUUUCUCCAAUCAGGUGGUUAUGGGAGGUGAGCAGGAAGUGACCACGACCUCCGACCUCUCCAGGAUUGGCAGAUCUGAGCUCCUUCUUGUUCUUCAACUUUACUGGAAGCAGCUGUAUUUGAUUGACAGACUGUUGUCAACCUUCCACAGUAAAGAACGUUGUUGGAGCAGGUGUGACCUGCCUUUAUUUACAGGUAAAGAUGGACAGAUCACGUUCUCUGAACCACAUGUUGAACCACAGGAGUCAAAGGUCCAUCAUCAGGAGUGGAGCAACUUUAUUAAACCUCUUCUUUUGGCCUAAAACACAAGAUGAAGUCAAGACAACGUUUCUUUGUGCUACUACUUAAUACUUUAAACAGUAACUAAUGAAACAAGUCAAUCAAAAUGCAGUAUUUUUUAUUAAAGCAAUGAGAAUUUCACAGUUACUUUCUUGGUAAACCAGGGGUCAAAGGCCAUCGUUUUCUAUUUAACAUUAAACUGAUUGAUUUAGUCAAACUUUAUACACACUGUUUUCAUCUGUACUGGAUUUGUCCAGUAGGUGUCGCUCACUCCGUUGUCAAUACCUGUGAAGGGUUUAAAUCUAUUUCUUUUCAUAUAUAAUAGUGACGUCCAAUCGGCUCGACACUGACGGACCACUGACGGACCACCGCUCGGCCGGUACACCAUGACUUUGGCCACGAUCUAAACCCAAGACGCACAUUUUCAGAAAAGACUUGUCCACAGAGAAGUUGGGAAAAUAAAAGUCACUCACAGUAAAACGGACUUACCGGUUUAAAGAUGGCGUCGUCGGUAACUCACGGUGUAGGAUCAGCUCUUCCGGCCCUGAUGUCCUGUAAACACUCUGUAAACGCUGUACAAAAGUUUCACUUCCGGUGACAAAAAAAAACUUUAAGUGUUUCUUUUCUUACUUGAGCAGCUCAAGGACGAUGUCGUUCACGUAACAGAAACCAGACCAUUCGAACUUCUUGGCGUGGAGUCCACCGGCCCAGUAGAGGGCGAUGUGGGUCUACUGCUACACCUGAAGGGCUUUACUUCAAUUUCUCACACACGCUUAAAUAAUGAAAACGUAAAUUCGUACCCUCGAUAACAAUGUUCCGUCUUCUUCGUGGGUUCGUCAUCGUUACAGUUCCCCACAGAACAAGCCGCUUCUUCGCUAACACACGGGGCUAAAGUCGCAACAUAACACGCUGACUGAUCGAUACGUGCGGCUCAAACAGGCGACUGUUGUCGGUGCAGCCGGAGGACAACCACAGCAACUCUUUGUACUGAAUUAUGCUGCAAAUGUUAGAGAAAUGGCCGCGAACCGAAGCAGCAACGCGUCGUUGGAGUCCGUGACGACACCAAGGAUCGAGGAGGUCAGGCAGGUCCAGGGAGAGUCGCUCCACGCUCUGGACCAGGAGGCGAACCAGGUGACCAGCGACAACCUGAAGAUCUGAGCAGCUGAAGACCACGACUGUCCUGGCUCCUCCCCCAACACCCUCCUCUGGAACCUCUGCUGGAGCACAAACAGAAGAAGAAGAAGAAGGAGAAUGUUCAGGAGACAGACUCUACAGACUCUACAGACACUACAGACUCUACAGACACUACAGACUCACAGACAUCCUCACCCUGAAUCUUCUGAUUCUGGACAGACGUUCCUGAAGGUUGGUCUUCUGGCUGCAGGUCAUUUCUUCUACGUGACUCCUCCACUGCUCCUCCUUCUCCUGAAACACAUCAUCAUCUUCAUCAUCUUCAUCUUCAUCUUCAUGGUUCUGGUCUCCACCUCUGGUCCACUGGUCUCCAGAUGGACUUGUCUUUGACUGAUGAACUGAAACUUCAGUCCAUCGUCCAAUCACAGCACAGCGUUGGUCAUCAACCAUCUGGUCAGUUGUGAAGAUGUCGUCCCACAUGUAGACGGUCGUCGGCGGAGCUGGAACGACAUGAAGACGACCAUCACCACAGUCAGCAGGGGGCAGCAGUGAGUGGGGACUGUGCCAAGCUCAGAGCACCUGAGUGGUAACUUGGCAGCUCGGUGGACUCGAACCUGAGACCCUAAUCACCACUGCCCCACUGCCCCAGUGUCGGUGUUUGGUUGAAGACUUUUCUUACUCUGUCUUUGCUUCUCUCUCUGUCUCCCUCUAGUGUCUCCGCUGCGUCCUUGUCUGCGGUGGUCCUGUCUGUCCCCAGGAAGACGUAGUCCUCUUCUUUACACAGACCUCUCAUCGACUGGAACCACAAAAUACAGACGCUCCUACGUUAGCGCCAUCUGCAGACUGAAAUUAAGAAUUGAACCCACCAAACAUCUGGAGAAACACCAAGACAGAGCAGGUCCAGACUCAGAGUGUGCAGGGACCAGCAGGGGGCAGUACAACAGAACAACAGCAGGAGUACAGUCAGAGCGGCUGUACUUUGAAGUGAACCUGACCUCAGACGCCGCUCUGAACUGGUUCAAACUGGUUUCACUGCACUCACGUCACUAGAACUGUUCCUGAAGGAACUUGAACCUCUGUCGGUGCUGGUACUUUACAGUCACAGCCAUCGGUACCAGCAGUCGGUGAAGACUCACCUUUGACAUGGGGAUUCCAUGGAACCUCUGGACGUGAGUCAUUCUGGUCCAGGACGGGUCUGAUCACACACACACACACACACACACACACUUUAAAGACUUUAAAGAACUCACAGAGGUCACAGAGGUCAAACUACUUACUGUUCUGCGGGUCAGAACCGCGGUUCCACUCUAACCGUCUGUGGGUUUGGUCCGUGGAUUCAGACGCUCCACAGACGUGUCCAGUCCGGCAGAGAGACGUGGGUCUGAGGGACAGCGCUCCACGGUGGACGCUGUUGCUACGUAGCCUACAUGCUACAUAUUUGUACGGCUCAGUGACAGCAGUGUCGUGGUGGUACUAAUGAAGGAAGAUGACGAAGGAGGACGCCGUUCAUCUGAGAGCAAGGCCUGGACGUCCACUUCAGCGAGGACCUCUGCUGGACACUGAACACAUCACAGUUGGUAACAGCUUCACUGUUGACGGAAAUGAAUUUCACUGCUGAAAAACUUUGUUUCUGUUGAAUAUGAAAAU
Long non-coding RNA from Cynoglossus semilaevis (tongue sole), 3466 nucleotides. RefSeq lists it as uncharacterized. Lineage: Eukaryota; Metazoa; Chordata; Actinopteri; Pleuronectiformes; Cynoglossidae. The record is from RefSeq and is a predicted model, not a curated record. The transcript is spliced from 9 exons.